Molecule: ribosomal RNA, 661 nt
Filed under: uncultured bacterium
Lineage: Bacteria
Description: bacterial SSU rRNA
Rfam family: Bacterial small subunit ribosomal RNA
Source: RNAcentral
AGUGGCGGACGGGUGAGUAACGCGUGAGAAUCUGCCUUCAGGUCGGGGACAACAGAGGGAAACUUCUGCUAAUCCCGGAUGAGCCUUAGGGUAAAAAAUUUAUUGCCUGGAGAUGAGCUCGCGUCUGAUUAGCUAGUUGGUAAGGUAAAAGCUUACCAAGGCAACGAUCAGUAGCUGGUCUGAGAGGAUGAGCAGCCACACUGGGACUGAGACACGGCCCAGACUCCUACGGGAGGCAGCAGUGGGGAAUUUUCCGCAAUGGGCGAAAGCCUGACGGAGCAAGACCGCGUGGGGGAGGAAGGCUCUAGGGUUGUAAACCCCUUUUCUUUGGGAAGAACAAAAUGACGGUACCAAAGGAAUCAGCCUCGGCUAACUCCGUGCCAGCAGCCGCGGUAAUACGGAGGAGGCAAGCGUUAUCCGGAAUGAUUGGGCGUAAAGCGUCCGCAGGUGGCAAUGUAAGUCUGCUGUCAAAACCCAGGGCUCAACUCUGGUCAGGCAGUGGAAACUACAUAGCUAGAGUUCGGUAUGGGCAAAGGGAAUUCCCGGUGUAGCGGUGAAAUGCGUAGAGAUCGGGAAGAACAUCGGUGGCGAAAGCGCUUUGCUAGACCGAAACUGACACUCAGGGACGAAAGCUAGGGGAGCGAAUGGGAUUAGAUACCCC